RNAcentral lists this ribosomal RNA (443 nucleotides) under uncultured bacterium. RNAcentral's name for it is "partial 16S ribosomal RNA". It matches the Rfam family "Bacterial small subunit ribosomal RNA", at positions 338 to 795 of the family's 1533-position model. The record is from RNAcentral.
CCUACGGGUGGCAGCAGUGGGGAAUAUUGGGCAAUGGGCGCAAGCCUGACGCAGCAACGCCGCGUGAAGGAAGAAGGAUUUCGGGUUGUAAACUUCUUUUCUCAGGGACGAAGAAAGUGACGGUACCUGAGGAAUAACCCACGGCUAACUACGUGACAGCAGCCGCGGUAAUACGUAGGCAGCAAGCGUUAGCCGGCGUUAUGGGGUGUAAAGGGCGUGUAGGCGGGAACGCAAGUCAGAUGUGAAAACUCAGGGCUGAACCCUGAGACUGCAUUUGAAACUGUGUUUCUUGAGUGCUGGAGAGGUAAGCGGAAUUCCGUGUGUAGCGGUGAAAUGCGUAGAUAUAAGGAGGAACACCAGUGGCGAAGGCGGAUUGCUGGACAGUAACUGACGCUGAGGCGCGAAAGCGUGGGGAGCAAACAGGAUUAGAUACCCCUGUAGUC